CUCCCUUUGGCUGUAGAUAUACUAAAAUUGGAAUGAUACAGAGAAGAUUAGCAUGGUCCCUGUGCAAGUAUAAUGCAAAUUUGGUUUUUUUUGUAUUUUUUU
Molecule: small nuclear RNA, 102 nt
Organism: Chlorocebus sabaeus (green monkey)
Lineage: Eukaryota; Metazoa; Chordata; Mammalia; Primates; Cercopithecidae
Source: RefSeq, a predicted model, not a curated record